CACAUCUCCCUGCUUGUAGCAGGCUGAUGAGUGUGUGCAGUUAGUGCAGGCACACACAUACUUCUGCGCUUUCCCUGGAAGUGGAGCAUUAGCAACUGCAGUCAGAACGCACCGUUGCUUCUUCAGCUCUGAUCUGAGCAGCAACUGUCGAAUUCUGUCUGGAGGAGAUAGGAGACAGCACUGGAGUCCCAUCUGUAGUGCACGUUCUUGAGAAGUGGCUGGCUGGCAAGGAAGGAGCACACUGCUGAAGAGGCUGGGCUUUCUAGUUGAGUUUGAACUGUAGCCUGUAGGGCUACCAGCAAUGGAAUAUCUGACACACUGGUGAUUAAAAGUUCUAUAAUUUCAUCUUACAGAGAAAUCUGGCUCAAUAAAGCAUUCCAUUCCUUUGGACACAUUGACUCUCUUAAUAGCAGAAACAACAUGAUCAGAGGAGGUCUACAAACAUUUCACACUUCAUGUGGUAUAAGCCAUAAACUUAUCUUUACAAAUACUGUCUUGAAUUAAUGGACAUUUAUAUUAAUCUCCUUUUGACCAUGGCAAGGAGCAACUGAUAAUCAUCACUAGCUUGUAGCUGUUGCCUGCUCCUUUCUUUUAGGAUGUGUGUGCAUUCUUACCUCUUUAAAAAUAAAGUUGCGUCUUCCUUUUCAUGUGUUUUACAUGGUUUGAUAUUCUUGACCCUUUGAAUUUCAGAGGAUUCUUUCCAUUACCUGAAUCUGUUGGGGUUUCCAUUUUGACAGUCAUUCUUAAAAGAAACAAUAAAGAAUUUUGUGUUACUGAAAUUAACAGUACAUUAUCUCCAGUACAGUAACGACAGCAGCAUGACAACUUGCAAAUUAAUGGUAAAAUAGAUUAUCACCCUUUCACACUCAUUUUUGAAAUAUUUUGCAACAUUAUUUCUUUGUAUAAUACAAAGUCUGGAAUGUGUUAAACAGCAGAAUAAUUUAUUGCUAUUUUCCACAGAUGGGAUAUUUUAUAGAGGUUCACAAGCUUUCUAUACCUUGUCAAACACGUGAGGAAUACUUGAUAAACCAUUUUAAAAAGUGUUGCAGAUGCUAUCAGCCAUUAGUAGAAUCAAAAAUGCUGAUUCUGGCCAUGUUUGUUAAGACAGAUGUUGAUGGCUCUGCUACACAAUCUUUGCAAGCUUUCUUUUGUAGGUCAGUUUGUGCAUCCUUUACAAGAUGUAUUCUCCCAUGGUUCUUUUGCUCAAUUAUUUUAGUAUAAGGAUCUUAAUACUAGUUGUACUUCACUGUCUUAUACUGGUGCUCAGAGGUUUCCAUCAGAGAUGGACUUUACGAUACAAUAAAUGCUGUGUGCAUUUUACUACAGGUUGUAAAGAGCUUAUUUGCUAAGGACAUCAUGAUGUAGAGGUGAAAAAAUGUCAUGAGGCUCUUGUAACCACUUACACCACCAGAAUUCAUUGUUUGGAAAGCAGUGUCCUUCCUCUAAUACAAAAUAAAACAUUUUUCGUUUUCUUUUUUUUUUUUUCUAUCACAAGGGACAAGCAAACAAUAAUAAAUUAUUCUCACAUCCUU
This 1532-nucleotide long non-coding RNA is filed under the name Taeniopygia guttata (zebra finch). RNAcentral describes it as "lncRNA (ENSTGUG00000026558.1)". The record is from RNAcentral. Lineage: Eukaryota; Metazoa; Chordata; Aves; Passeriformes; Estrildidae.